UACGUAGGCAGCAAACGUUGUUCGGAGUUACUGGGCGUAAAGAGUACGUAGGCGGUUUGCUAAGUUUGGUGUGAAAUCUCCUGGCUUAACUGGGAGGGUGCGCCGAAUACUGGUGAGCUUGAGUGUGGGAGAGGAAAGCGGAAUUCCUGGUGUAGCGGUGAAAUGCGUAGAUAUCAGGAGGAACACCGGUGGUGUAGACGGCUUUCUGGACCACGACUGACGCUGAGGUACGAAAGCGUGGGUAGCAAACAGG
RNAcentral lists this ribosomal RNA (253 nucleotides) under uncultured bacterium. RNAcentral describes it as "partial 16S ribosomal RNA". It matches the Rfam family "Bacterial small subunit ribosomal RNA", at positions 524 to 776 of the family's 1533-position model. The record is from RNAcentral.